RNAcentral lists this ribosomal RNA (436 nucleotides) under uncultured soil bacterium. RNAcentral's name for it is "bacterial SSU rRNA". It matches the Rfam family "Bacterial small subunit ribosomal RNA", at positions 26 to 518 of the family's 1533-position model. The record is from RNAcentral.
AGAGCGAACGCUGGCGGCAGGCUUAACACAUGCAAGUCGAGCGCCCCGCAAGGGGAGCGGCAGACGGGUGAGUAACACGUGGGAACGUACCCUUUGGUUCGGAACAACCCAGGGAAACUUGGGCUAAUACCGGAUAAGUCCGUAAGGAGAAAGAUUUAUCGCCAAAGGAUCGGCCCGCGUCUGAUUAGCUAGUUGGUAGGGUAAUGGCCUACCAAGGCUACGAUCAGUAGCUGGUCUGAGAGGAUGAUCAGCCACAUUGGGACUGAGACACGGCCCAAACUCCUACGGGAGGCAGCAGUGGGAAUAUUGGACAAUGGGCGCAAGCCUGAUCCAGCCAUGCCGCGUGAGUGAUGAAGGCCUUAGGGUGUAAAGCUCUUUAGCGGGAAGAUAAUGACGGUACCGCAAGAAAAGCCCGAUAACUCGUGCCAGCAGCCGC